This 253-nucleotide ribosomal RNA is filed under the name uncultured bacterium. RNAcentral describes it as "partial 16S ribosomal RNA". It matches the Rfam family "Bacterial small subunit ribosomal RNA", at positions 524 to 776 of the family's 1533-position model. The record is from RNAcentral.
UACGGGGGGGGCUAGCGUUGUUCGGAAUUACUGGGCGUAAAGGGCUCGUAGGCGGCCAACUAAGUCAGACGUGAAAUCCCUCGGCUUAACCGGGGAACUGCGUCUGAUACUGGAUGGCUUGAAUCCGGGAGAGGGAUGCAGAAUUCCAGGUGUAGCGGUGAAAUGCGUAGAUAUCUGGAGGAAUACCGGUGGCGAAGGCGGCAUCCUGGACCGGCAUUGACGCUGAGGAGCGAAAGCCAGGGGAGCAAACGGG